UUUUUUUUUUCCAGAAUACUUGAUUUGUUCAGGCCAAAACAAACCAAAGGGUCCCACAAGAAGGCAGAAAAUUGGAUCAGGCAUAAAUACUCUCUCUCUCUCUCCCUCUUGGGCGAGAAUGCUGGUGGGAUCUCUGCCCUCUCCCUGACACACCUGAAGCAAAACACCUGCAAAACAUCUGGCAAACAGCUGACUAUGCUGGGAUGUGACAUUCAGUCUUUGCCUGAGCUUUGUUUCACUGUGGCAGGUCAGCAGGGGGCUGCUGCUUUCUGCAGUAGAUUGCCUGCUCACCCACCAAGCCAAACGUGUGCCCAGGGCGAGAAUGCUGGUGGGAUCUCUGCCCUCUCCCUGACACACCUGAAGCAAAACACCUGCAAAACAUCUGGCAAACAGCUGACUAUGCUGGGAUGUGACAUUCAGUCUUUGCCUGAGCUUUGUUUCACUGUGGUAGAGAUCUCCUCACUGAUCUGCACGUCGUGGUCCUUGUUGUCAUCACAAAGAUUUCUAAUGUGUCUUGUCCUCUGUUUAAGACAUCCCAGUGGUUCCCAUCAGUUUUGGAAACGCUCCUUUGUUGGAUUUUGUAAAUAAGAAGCUUUUGAACUAAAAACUGCUGAAAGACUGUAAAUAGCACAACCCUCACCUGCAUUAUAACUAAAUCUCUAAACUUGCA
Molecule: long non-coding RNA, 670 nt
Organism: Oreochromis niloticus (Nile tilapia)
Lineage: Eukaryota; Metazoa; Chordata; Actinopteri; Cichliformes; Cichlidae
Exons: 4
Source: RefSeq, a predicted model, not a curated record